RNAcentral lists this ribosomal RNA (254 nucleotides) under uncultured bacterium. RNAcentral describes it as "partial 16S ribosomal RNA". It matches the Rfam family "Bacterial small subunit ribosomal RNA", at positions 524 to 776 of the family's 1533-position model. The record is from RNAcentral.
UACGUAGGGUGCGAGCGUUGUCCGGAAUUAUUGGGCGUAAAGAGCUCGUAGGCGGUCUGUCGCGUCGGUCGUGAAAACUUGGGGCUUAACCCUGAGCUUGCGGUCGAUACGGGCAUGACUGGAGUUCGGCAGGGGAGACUGGAAUUCCUGGUGUAGCGGUGAAAUGCGCAGAUAUCAGGAGGAACACCGGUGGCGAAGGCGAGUCUCUGGACAUUUCCUGACGCUGAGGCACGAAAGCCAGGGGAGCAAACGGG